Molecule: ribosomal RNA, 279 nt
Filed under: uncultured bacterium
Lineage: Bacteria
Description: partial 16S ribosomal RNA
Rfam family: Archaeal small subunit ribosomal RNA
Source: RNAcentral
UGCCAGCAGCCGCGGUAAAAACAGCACCUCCAGUGGUCAGGAUGAUUAUUGGGCCUAAAGCAUCCGUAGCCGGCUCUAUAAGUUUUCGGUUAAAUCUGUACGCUCAACGUACAGGCUGCCGGGAAUACUGUAGCGCUAGGGAGUGGGAGAGGUAGACGGUACUCGGUAGGAAGGGGUAAAAUCCUUUGAUCUAUUGAUGACCACCUGUGGCGAAGGCGGUCUACCAGAACACGUCCGACGGUGAGGGAUGAAAGCUGGGGGAGCAAACCGGAUUAGAUC